Molecule: ribosomal RNA, 497 nt
Filed under: uncultured bacterium
Lineage: Bacteria
Description: partial 16S ribosomal RNA
Rfam family: Bacterial small subunit ribosomal RNA
Source: RNAcentral
GAUGAACGCUGGCGGCGUGCCUAAUACAUGCAAGUCGAGCGAACGGACGAGAAGCUUGCUUCUCUGAUGUUAGCGGCGGACGGGUGAGUAACACGUGGAUAACCUACCUAUAAGACUGGGAUAACUUCGGGAAACCGGAGCUAAUACCGGAUAAUAUUUUGAACCGCAUGGUUCAAAAGUGAAAGACGGUCUUGCUGUCACUUAUAGAUGGAUCCGCGCUGCAUUAGCUAGUUGGUAAGGUAACGGCUUACCAAGGCAACGAUGCAUAGCCGACCUGAGAGGGUGAUCGGCCACACUGGAACUGAGACACGGUCCAGACUCCUACGGGAGGCAGCAGUAGGGAAUCCUCCGCAAUGGGCGCAAGCCUGACGGAGCAACGCCGCGUGAGUGAUGAAGGUCUUCGGAUCGUAAAACUCUGUUAUUAGGGAAGAACAUAUGUGUAAGUAACUGUGCACAUCUUGACGGUACCUAAUCAGAAAGCCACGGCUAACUACGUG